This 99-nucleotide ribosomal RNA is filed under the name Carassius auratus (goldfish). The record is from RNAcentral. Lineage: Eukaryota; Metazoa; Chordata; Actinopteri; Cypriniformes; Cyprinidae. RNAcentral also lists the same sequence under 2 other names.
GCUAUGCCCGAUCUCGUCUGAGUUUCUUUCCUACUUAUAUAAUGUACUGGCGAUUAGAUUGGCUGGUCUUUAAAUAGCCCUCUCUUUGCAGCAGUCUUC